This 379-nucleotide ribosomal RNA is filed under the name uncultured bacterium. RNAcentral describes it as "bacterial SSU rRNA". It matches the Rfam family "Bacterial small subunit ribosomal RNA", at positions 523 to 898 of the family's 1533-position model. The record is from RNAcentral.
ACACGUAGGGAGCAAGCGUUGUCCGGAUUUAUUGGGCGUAAAGAGCUCGUAGGCUGUUCAGUAAGUCGGGUGUGAAAACUUAGGGCUCAACCCUGAGACGCCACUCGAUACUGCUGUGACUAGAGUCCGGUAGGGGAGCGUGGAAUUCCUGGUGUAGCGGUGAAAUGCGCAGAUAUCAGGAGGAACACCAGCGGCGAAGGCGGCGCUCUGGGCCGGAACUGACGCUGAGGAGCGAAAGCGUGGGUAGCAAACAGGAUUAGAUACCCUGGUAGUCCACGCCGUAAACGUUGGGCACUAGGUGUGGGACCUUAUCAACGGGUUCCGUGCCGUAGCUAACGCAUUAAGUGCCCCGCCUGGGGAGUACGGCCGCAAGGCUAAA